RNAcentral lists this ribosomal RNA (716 nucleotides) under Desmonostoc muscorum CYC001. RNAcentral's name for it is "bacterial SSU rRNA". It matches the Rfam family "Bacterial small subunit ribosomal RNA", at positions 139 to 886 of the family's 1533-position model. Lineage: Bacteria; Bacillati; Cyanobacteriota; Cyanophyceae; Nostocales; Nostocaceae. The record is from RNAcentral.
GGGAACAACCACUGGAAACGGUGGCUAAUACCGGAUGUGCCGGAAGGUGAAAGGCUUGCUGCCUGAAGAUGAGCUCGCGUCUGAUUAGCUAGUUGGUGGGGUAAGAGCCUACCAAGGCGACGAUCAGUAGCUGGUCUGAAAGGAUGACCAGCCACACUGGGACUGAAACACGGCCCAGACUCCUACGGGAGGCAGCAGUGGGGAAUUUUCCGCAAUGGGCGAAAGCCUGACGGAGCAAUACCGCGUGAGGGAGGAAGGCUCUUGGGUUGUAAACCUCUUUUCUCAGGGAAAAACACAAUGACGGUACCUGAAGAAUCCCCAUCGGCUAACUCCGUGCCAGCACCCGCGGUAAUACGGAGGAUGCAAGCGUUAUCCGGAAUGAUUGGGCGUAAAGCGUCCGCAGGUGGCUGUGUAAGUCUGCUGUCAAAGAGCGAAGCUCAACUUCAUAAAGGCAGUGGAAACUACAUGGCUAGAGUGCGUUCGGGGCAGAGGGAAUUCCUGGUGUAGCGGUGAAAUGCGUAUAGAUCAAGAAGAACACCGGUGGCGAAGGCGCUCUGCUACGCCGCAACUGACACUGAGGGACGAAAGCUAGGGGAGCGAAUGGGAUUAUAUACCCCAGUAGUCCUAGCUGUAAACGAUGGAUACUAUGCGUGGCUUGUAUCGACCCGAGCCGUGCCGUAACUAACGCGUUAAGUAUCCCGCCUGGGGAGUACGCA